CCAUUUCCCGGUGCCGUGACCCCGCCGUUCACCGAUUUUCCCAUUUUUCCCGUUUUCCCCCCGUUUUUCCCAUUUCCCCGUUGUUUCCUGGUGCCGUGACUCCGCCCUUCACCGUUUUUUCCCGUUUUUCCCGUUUUUCCCGUUUUCCCCCUGUUUUCCCCCCAUUUCCCCGUGCCCUGCCCCCGCCCUUCCCCCUCCCCCCCCAUUUUUCCCGUUUCCCCCCCGUUUUUUCCAUUUCCCCCCUGUUUUUCCCAUUUUCCCCCGUUUUUCCCAUUUCCCCCGUUUUUCCCAUUUCCGCCCCGUUUUUCCCGUUUUCCCCCCGUUUUUCCCCCAUUUCCCGGUGCCGUCACCCCGCCAUUCACCGUUUUUCCCGUUUUUUCCCCGUUUUUCCCCGUUUUUCCCCGUUUCCCGCCGGGUCAGAGCGAGCAGGGGCUGCUGCACUUCCUGGACGUGUCCGAGGGCCGCGCCGUGACCCCGCCCUUCACCGUUUUUCCCNUUUUCCCCCCAUUUCCCGGUUCCGUGACCCCGCCAUUCACCGUUUUUUCCCGUUUUUCCCCGUUUUUUCCCCGUUUUUCCCCGUUUCCUGCCGGGUCAGAGCGAGCAGGGGCUGCUGCACUUCCUGGACG
RNAcentral lists this long non-coding RNA (626 nucleotides) under Chloebia gouldiae (Gouldian finch). RNAcentral describes it as "Erythrura gouldiae (Gouldian finch) lncRNA (ENSEGOG00005011136.1)". Lineage: Eukaryota; Metazoa; Chordata; Aves; Passeriformes; Passeridae. The record is from RNAcentral.